RNAcentral lists this long non-coding RNA (1541 nucleotides) under Homo sapiens (human). RNAcentral describes it as "HSALNT0293498". Lineage: Eukaryota; Metazoa; Chordata; Mammalia; Primates; Hominidae. The record is from RNAcentral.
AGCGUUCCUUCCCUCUCGUAGAGGCUCAGGCGCAGGCACCGCCCCACGGCGAGGCGCGUCGCUUAGCAGAGCCCGCCCUGUCUCUGCGGCAGCCUAUCGACGCCAGCCCGCGGGCCGAUCCUGUUCCCGCCCCCGACCGGAGCCUUUCGGGUGGCUCCGCCCACAGCGGGCGUUUCCUCAAGCCACGCCUGCGCAGGUCGUCGGUAAGUGGCCCGGGUUAGCUUCCUCAUAAGGCAUCGUUUCCGUGGGUGGGGUCCGUCAGUGCCCAGGCAGCUGGCACUCUCAGCCUUUGCUGCCUGCUCACUUCGGGGGAGUCCGGUCUGGGCUUGUCAGUACCUUGGGUUCCUCCCCUUUUCCCAGACCCUGCCCUACAAUUUCCUGUUGUUACGUUUGCCAGUUACUGUUUUGGUCACACACAAACGCACUCAUACACACAUACACAUGCAUACACACAAACAGCCUAACUACAAUACUAAACAAAUUUUUGAAAGAAAAAAAGAAACCACCUACAAUCCCACCACUUUAACACCUCAUUUAACGUUUGCAUACUUUUUGGUCACUGUUCAUUAUAAACAUAGCUUUUCCUCAUUAGUUAAUCUGUGUAAUGGAGAUAGAUAUGCUUACCUUUUAGGGCUGCCGGGAUCAUAUGUAAAGUUCUUAAAGGUAGUUGGGCACACAGUAUGCACUCAACUGAUUAUUUAUUUAUUUAUUGAGACAGGAUCUCACUCUGUCGCCCAGGCUGGAGUGCAGUGGUGCGAUUCUCGGCUCACUGCAGCUUCCACCUCCAGGGCUCAGGCGAUCCUUCCACCUCAGCCACCAAGCAGCUGGGAGUCCAGCUAGUUUUUUUGUAUUUUUUAUAGAGAUGGAGUUUCGCCAUGUUGCCCAGGCUGGUCUCAAACUCCUGGGCUCAAGCCAUCCACCCGCCUCGGCUUCCCAAAGUGCAGGGACUACAGGCAUGAGCCACCCAGCUCAUCCUACUCAAACAUUUAUUGAGUCCUUACUAAUAUGUUCUAGGCAACUUAUACUAUGAGUCCUCCAUUUUAUAGGGGGAGACUGAUGAAGAGACGACUAUCCCCAGACCGUAUUUUAACUACUAUGGCGCUGUGUAAGAAGCAACCUGAGAAGUGUGGAUGAAAAGCUACAGCUUCCCUGCUGAAAUACCUUAGUGAGAAUGCAUAAAAACCAACUCUAAAUGAUGCACAAAGCCACCGAGAGCUAAUCCUUGACAGAAACACUGGAAGGAUUUCUUCUCUGCAAAACUACCCUCUUCCUUCACGCUGAAUCAUCAGAAAGAGGAGCCGGCUGCAUCCCUAAAUUCAUCCCUUAUUUUAAUUAACCCAAGGAUGACAUGGAGGCCUUGGAGACCCUAUACAGUGCUGUGUGUUCAGCAGUAAAUAUCCACCCAUUGUAGUCAGGAGCCAGCAUCUUCAUCAUCCUUUCUUGUUAGAACAAACUUGUCCAACCCAUGGCCCAUGGGCCACAUGUGGCCUAGGACGGCUUUGAAUGCGGCCCAACACAAAUUUGUAAAGUUUCUUAAAACA